CCUACGGGGGGCUGCAGUGGGGAAUUUUGGACAAUGGGGGCAACCCUGAUCCAGCCAUGCCGCGUGCGGGAAGAAGGCCUUCGGGUUGUAAACCGCUUUUGUCAGGGAAGAAAUCUUCCGAGCUAAUACCUUGGGAGGAUGACGGUACCUGAAGAAUAAGCACCGGCUAACUACGUGCCAGCAGCCGCGGUAAUACGUAGGGUGCAAGCGUUAAUCGGAAUUACUGGGCGUAAAGCGUCAGCAGGCGGUUGAAAUCCCCGGGCCUAAGCUGGGAACGGGAAUUGGGACUGUACGGCUGGAGUACGGCAGAGGGGGAUGGAAUUCCGCGUGUAGCAGUGAAAUGCGUAGAUAUGCGGAGGAACACCGAUGGCGAAGGCAGUCCCCUGGGCCUGUACUGACGCUCAUGCACGAAAGCGUGGGGAGCAAACAGGAUUAGAUACCCCGGUAGUC
Molecule: ribosomal RNA, 450 nt
Filed under: uncultured bacterium
Lineage: Bacteria
Description: partial 16S ribosomal RNA
Rfam family: Bacterial small subunit ribosomal RNA
Source: RNAcentral